This 2354-nucleotide long non-coding RNA is filed under the name Pomacea canaliculata. Its description in RNAcentral is "uncharacterized LOC112557234". Lineage: Eukaryota; Metazoa; Mollusca; Gastropoda; Architaenioglossa; Ampullariidae. The record is from RNAcentral.
GCUACAAAUCGAUUACGAGAAAUCCUGUCUAUCCAUAGCAAAACGUAUGAUUAUCUUGACGCGUGCGCACUCUGUGUGUGUGUUCGCGGCUCGGAGAGAGAGAGAAGCGGGUAUAGAGACGAAGAAAUACCGGAGGUAUCAGUCGUAGGGAAAAGUCAACGGGACGCAGCACGUGUGAACUCAUACCAGUGGGGCCGGUCAUGCGAGAGAAGACCCCAGUUCUUCAGGUCUCAUGCCUGUCCAGAAUCCGGUCUUCCAACAGCUCCUCCGAGGCCGGAGUAAGGGGAUUCCAGAUCACUUUCAGCAUAACUUGACUGGUCAUACCCCUGCCUACGUGAGGUUCGAACGAUGAUCCUGAUUAGUCACGGAGAAAUGAACUGCUUCGGACAUUGCAUGCUCUGCGAGCAAAACAGAAAUUUUGAUCUCAUCGGUACAUUGUACCAACCUCUGAGGAAAACAAAGGGGAGAGAAAAAAGAAAUCAGCGGAAUGGAGAAGAAAGACAUGAGGUAAAUGAAGGAGGAUACCAGUCCUGAGUAGAGAAUGCAAUUUACAUAAACAGGAGACAGGCUGCAAGUGGAGAUGAAAUUCAGGUGAGACAAAAGAGCAAAAUAGCACGCGCACAUCUGUGUGUGUGUGAUAGAGAAAGAAUAUUUUCUUUGUCUGACGUCCGAAGCUUCUCUUUUCACUAUACUUGAUAAUCCCUAGCUUGCUCCUAGUCUGCCUGGAACCAAUUAACGGGGUGAUGAUAAUGAAUAAUGCAUAAUGAUGUUCGUGGAUGAAAAAAGCGAUGGCAAUACGGAUCACGGGAACUGGGCAGAGCUCGUCCAUUGGCCUUUUCCAAAAUUCAACCCUCAGUCCCUGGAAAGUUAUUGCACUCUGCUGUACUCCUACUCCCAGACGUACGACCCGCAACAACACAUAAAACAAAUAUGAAUACCGUUCUAAUUUGUUUAGUAUGAUAUAUCCUUUCCGUUUUUCUGGCAUGUUUAAAAAAAAAAAAAAAAGAGAGACACACGUAGCUAUAUUUAUAUGUUGCUCGUGAUGUGUAUCAGUGAAGCAGACGAAUAUCCAUUAGCAUCCCGUUAUCCUGGUCUGAGACGAUCCUGUUUUACUCAACGCCGUGGGAUGUUGAUAAACAAAAGGUUUUGAACGCCACUUUUGUAGUUCGUAGACGUAAAUAUCACAGCUCCGGUACAGGAGGUUUUUCCCAGAGUAUCUCGCCAAGUUUACUUUCUUGUGUAAACCAAGAGAUUUAUUAGAAAAUAGGCGGGAAAGUGGAGAGAGGGCCAGAAUUAAGGGAAGUAAGCAUGAUGAGGGAGGAAACCAGUGAUAGAGAUAUUUGGCAGAAUAUAACUCACGGAGGACAACAAAUAAAUGGGAAGGAAACCAAACUAACCAAGAGAAAACCGACGACACGCGGUGUCAAAUCCAAAGAGAAAUACAUGUCCAUGAGCCGGGAUAUGAACUUAGUACCUUUAGAUGCUCUUUUCAAUGGUGAGAAACGAGUGGUAUACCAUCACGAUACUGGAUCUUCUCACGGCCCCCUACGGAUCUUCAAAUGAGGAGGUAAUUACAUACUGGGAUCACAAUGAGAUGACUUACAUUUUUUCUUCCUGAAGCUUGGGAUCUGAAAUCUGACUGAAACACUUUCUUGGGCAGCAGAGUACACAUCCACCCAUCACGCGGGGCUAUGCAGAUUAAAUGUAGAUUAAAUUUGUUCCGCAAAUGAAGUGACUUCGCGUCUGGAAGUUUCUGCCUUCACGAUGCUAGCUUCAAAGAGGACCCCCUUACCAACCUUACCAUGGUACAGGGGACAGGAAGUGAAUUCAUUUAGGCAGUUUCUUAAAAAAGAGAUCUUUUUAAAUAAAAAGGCCUAUUGGCAGAUGGCGUGUACAGUUCUUUCCUGUCAUGGGGGCUAAAAGAGCAGUGUAACAUUUUGGCUUUUCUGGAAGUUUGUAUAAUCUUUCUGCAAGAUUAUACGUGAAUUUUAAGUUGGAGCAAUACGGAAUUUCCGAGAAAUUCUGUUCCAUAGCCCAAUGGAAUUUUUUAAACAUGCAGCUCAAGAGCCUAGACAAUCGCUUCUGUUCCUUGUACAAUGGAGAUACUAGAAGGGACCUCCAUCUCUGAUGACCCUUAAAUUUUUUUUAAAAUUCUGAUAAAGGCACAGACAUCUAAUUAAAGGUGGAGUUACACAUAUCACGUGCAUACGAUAGAAGACGCACCUAAAUCAUCUCAGGAGUGCGCAAAAGACACACGCGCGCACACAUUACAUGGAAGCUGUAAAAAAUUAUGAGCCUUUUUAAUGUAUGGAAUAGAGUAGGUAUGUUGGAUGUGUGUGUGUGUGGGGGGGGGG